This 585-nucleotide ribosomal RNA is filed under the name Triticum aestivum (bread wheat). RNAcentral describes it as "partial small subunit ribosomal RNA". Lineage: Eukaryota; Viridiplantae; Streptophyta; Magnoliopsida; Poales; Poaceae. The record is from RNAcentral.
CCGAUCUCCAGCCUCUGGAUAGGUGCUCUUUCAUUACCGCCGCCGCUGUCCGAGGGAAGACGUCGCUGCCGCCAAGGGGAGACACCACCGCCGCCCUUGGCGCCGUAUUCCCUUGAUGCCUUCUUCCAGAACGCCGCAGAGAAGAAGGCCGCCGGGGCGCAGCAGCAGGAGCCCUCGCUGCGGGCCGCCGCGACGGUUGCCGCCACAGACUCCCUCCUCGCCAAUUUGUUCGCGGGCGUCUCGGCCGUCAAGGCGGCCUACGCGCAGCUGAAGCUCAUGCAGUUCCCCUAUGACGCAGAGACCAUUCAGUCUGCGGAUGCCGCCGUGGUCGGGGAGCUCACCAGGCUGUCCAACACCAAGCGGAGGUUCCUCAAGGGUCCCGCAGGCGCGGCCAGGGACGCCGCGGCCGCAGGCAACACUGCCCUCUCCACGCAUGCCGAGGAGCAGCGGCAUCUGCUCAAGAAGUACCAGAUCACGGCGCGCAAGCUGGAGGCGAAGCUCCGUGCAAAGGAUGCGGAGCUCGACUGCGCCAAGGGCUCCCUCGAUGCAGAUAACAUAAGCUCUUCUUUUUUCUUGUGUGUUUGA